This 253-nucleotide ribosomal RNA is filed under the name uncultured bacterium. Its description in RNAcentral is "partial 16S ribosomal RNA". It matches the Rfam family "Bacterial small subunit ribosomal RNA", at positions 524 to 776 of the family's 1533-position model. The record is from RNAcentral.
UACGUAGGUGGCGAGCGUUGUCCGGAUUUAUUGGGCGUAAAGGGCGCGCAGGUGGUGCGGUAAGACUGCCGUGAAAUCUCCUGGCUCAACUGGGAGGGUGCGGUGGAGACUGCCGGACUAGAGGCACUCAGAGGCCGGUGGAAUUCCCGGUGUAGUGGUGAAAUGCGUAGAGAUCCGGAAGAACACCGGUGGCGAAGGCGGCCUGCUGGGCAGUGGCUGACGCUGAGGCGCGACAGCGUGGGGAGCAAACAGG